UUGGUUCCUUUGUCUAUAGCUAUUUUUCUUAUUUCCUUAUGCUGAAUUUAGUUCAUAUAAGUUCAUUAUUUCCAAAGAAACUGCAUGUUUUUGUUAAAUAUUGUGAAAUCAUUCUUGCUUUGCAUCAUAUAUAUACAGAAAGAAAAGGUCUUUUAGAUGUCAAUGUAUGAGACAAAAUUCUUUGUUCGCCAAAAACUUAUGGCACGUCUUGUUUUUUGAGUUCUAAUUUAGGACAAACAAAUCUAUGACCUUGAGGGAAAAAAAGAAGCUCUUAUAUUUAGAUAUCUGAUAAAGUGAUAAUGAGUGAGUUAUUGAGUUGUUUAUUGCAUCCACAGACCCUGAAAUAGAUUCGUGUUUGCACGAGAAAACUUACUGUUGCUCUGAAAAGUUGAGUUUCUAAAUCCAAAGAUGCCAACUUGUGCUAAUAAGGGAUCAUUUUCUGGGUUCACAAUAAGGAAACACUAUAGUAUGGACCUUCUAAUAAAUUUAUGUUUUUGGUCUUAUUAAAUAGAAAUGUCUCAGGCCUUUUCUAGUAAAAUUCCUAAUGCAUGCAUGGUUGGAUGAAUUUCGAUUUUCUUGUCUAUUAAGUUUGUAUUUGCUUCAAGGUCCC
This 610-nucleotide long non-coding RNA is filed under the name Gossypium barbadense (sea-island cotton). RNAcentral's name for it is "long non-coding RNA (GBAR_LNC010065)". Lineage: Eukaryota; Viridiplantae; Streptophyta; Magnoliopsida; Malvales; Malvaceae. The record is from RNAcentral.